This 236-nucleotide long non-coding RNA is filed under the name Daucus carota (carrot). RNAcentral's name for it is "long non-coding RNA (DCAR_LNC004115)". Lineage: Eukaryota; Viridiplantae; Streptophyta; Magnoliopsida; Apiales; Apiaceae. The record is from RNAcentral.
GGUUUAAUAAGAGUUUGGUCCGCAAUAUCAAUCCACUAAUCACAGUCAAUUAUAAAGGUUCGUCGAUUAUAACAGUACUAACAAUGAUUAGUCCAACAAUUUAUAUCGCGCGGAAAAUAUAAAUAGUUGAUUUUAAUAGUAUUGAUUUUAAUAACCUGAGCACACCGCAUACGGGCACGCUACGAGGGUUAUAUUAAUUAGUGUUGAGUGAUUUAUAGAUAUAUGACGCGGUCGAU